Molecule: ribosomal RNA, 116 nt
Filed under: Desulfosporosinus cupriresistens
Lineage: Bacteria; Bacillati; Bacillota; Clostridia; Eubacteriales; Desulfitobacteriaceae
Source: RNAcentral
UGGUGAUCAUGCCGGAGGGGUUCCACCCGUUCCCAUACCGAACACGGAAGUUAAGACCUUCAGGGCCGAUGAUACUUGGGGCGCAAGCCCCUGGCAAAGUAGGUCAUCGCCAGGUA